CAGGACAAAAGAUGCCCAGGAAGGCUGAGAAAAAAAGCGCUAUCCACAUAAAACCCAGCGGUUCACUGCCAAUAGGGCAUUCCCCACCACUGAUUUAGCCCAGUAAGAAGCCUUCGGUUUCUCCGGUGCCACACUCCGCAUAAGCUAGACCACGCCCGAGCCUUAUCAGAGCUUUGCGGCGAGUGGGCGGACUUAUUCGUGGCUCCGCCCCGUGACCUGCGCGCUUGCGGGAGGGUCACAGGUCAGAGGUUGUGGAGCCGUCAUGGCAGCGCUGUGUUGGGCCCGCGCUGUGGCUGCCGAGAGCUGUUUCCUGCGAGUGUUUCUCUUCUCCCGGCCGUGUCGAGCCACAGGCACUGAGAGUAGCUCCGGGAGCGGGAGUUCAGAUGCCGCACAGCCCCGGACGCAACCAGGUGGCUUCGCGAGCGCACUGGAGAGACACUCGGAACUGCAGCGGCAGGCGGAGCUCAACCGGGGCUCUUUGAAAAAUGUGGAAUCCUUCGUGUCCAUGCUGAGACAGUCUCCUCUUACACAGAUGGGACCUGCUAAGGAUAAACUGGUCAUUGGACAAAUCUUUCAUAUUGUGGAAAAUGAUCUUUAUAUAGAUUUUGGCGGCAAGUUUCAUUGUGUAUGCAGAAGACCCGAAGCGAAUGGAGAGCAACAUUUAAAUGCAGAAUCUUUCAUUUUGGAUGCAGUAAAUACCACAGAAGCCAGUAGAUAAAGAUGGUGUCCCAAAUCUCGAAACCAUACCAAAAGGAGUGGGAAUUCCGCUUCGGCGGGCAGCUGAAACAAGAAUUCACACGGAAGGCUAUCAGUAAAUGCUUGCCGAAUGAACAAAAGCGAGGGAGGGAAGAAUGCAGAGAAGACAGAAUAACAUCAGAAGGCAGAAAUGACCUGCUCAAGAAUCAUGGCACAUUUCUAUAAUGUGUAGACUGAAUCAUCCUCAAAAUCAAAUUUAUUAAUGGUCUUUGUACUCAUUGUAUUGCCUUUAAAUGUGGAACUUAAACCUAACUCAGAGAGCUCCAUCACAAAAGUUGUGAAUUUUAAAAAAUACAUA
Choloepus didactylus (southern two-toed sloth) is the source of this 1054-nucleotide RNA transcript. It is a transcript of the gene named mitochondrial ribosomal protein S28, with no coding region annotated. The transcript is spliced from 4 exons. NCBI's taxonomy places the organism in Eukaryota, Metazoa, Chordata, Mammalia, Pilosa, Megalonychidae. The record is from RefSeq and is a predicted model, not a curated record.